UGACAGUCACUCUGCUUAAAUGUAUGGUA
Molecule: non-coding RNA, 29 nt
Filed under: Mus musculus (house mouse)
Lineage: Eukaryota; Metazoa; Chordata; Mammalia; Rodentia; Muridae
Source: RNAcentral